RNAcentral lists this ribosomal RNA (496 nucleotides) under uncultured bacterium. RNAcentral describes it as "partial 16S ribosomal RNA". It matches the Rfam family "Bacterial small subunit ribosomal RNA", at positions 29 to 507 of the family's 1533-position model. The record is from RNAcentral.
AUGAACGCUGGCGGCGUGCCUAAUACCUGCAAGUCGAGCGAACAGACGAGGAGCUUGCUCCUCUGACGUUAGCGGCGGACGGGUGAGUAUCACGUGGAUAACCUACCUAUAAGACUGGGAUAACUUCGGGAAACCGGAGCUAAUACCGGAUAAUAUAUUGAACCGCAUGGUUCAAUAGUGAAAGACGGUUUUGCUGUCACUUAUAGAUGGAUCCGCGCCGCAUUAGCUAGUUGGUAAGGUAACGGCUUACCAAGGCAACGAUGCGUAGCCGACCUGAGAGGGUGAUCGGCCACACUGGAACUGAGACACGGUCCAGACUCCUACGGGAGGCAGCAGUAGGGAAUCUUCCGCAAUGGGCGAAAGCCUGACGGAGCAACGCCGCGUGAGUGAUGAAGGUCUUCGGAUCGUAAAACUCUGUUAUUAGGGAAGAACAAAUGUGUAAGUAACUAUGCACGUCUUGACGGUACCUAAUCAGAAAGCCACGGCUAACUACGUG